GUGCCAGCCGCCGCGGUAAUACGUAGGGUGCAAGCGUUAAUCGGAAUUACUGGGCGUAAAGCGUGCGCAGGCGGUUUUGUAAGUCUGUCGUGAAAGCCCCGGGCUCAACCUGGGAAUUGCGAUGGAGACUGCAAGGCUUGAAUCUGGCAGAGGGGGGUAGAAUUCCACGUGUAGCAGUGAAAUGCGUAGAGAUGUGGAGGAACACCGAUGGCGAAGGCAGCCCCCUGGGUCAAGAUUGACGCUCAUGCACGAAAGCGUGGGGAGCAAACAGGAUUAG
This 277-nucleotide ribosomal RNA is filed under the name uncultured Burkholderiales bacterium. RNAcentral's name for it is "partial 16S ribosomal RNA". It matches the Rfam family "Bacterial small subunit ribosomal RNA", at positions 505 to 781 of the family's 1533-position model. The record is from RNAcentral. Lineage: Bacteria; Pseudomonadati; Pseudomonadota; Betaproteobacteria; Burkholderiales.